This 276-nucleotide ribosomal RNA is filed under the name Escherichia coli. RNAcentral's name for it is "partial 16S ribosomal RNA". It matches the Rfam family "Bacterial small subunit ribosomal RNA", at positions 1257 to 1532 of the family's 1533-position model. Lineage: Bacteria; Pseudomonadati; Pseudomonadota; Gammaproteobacteria; Enterobacterales; Enterobacteriaceae. RNAcentral also lists the same sequence under 1 other name. The record is from RNAcentral.
GCGAGAGCAAGCGGACCUCAUAAAGUGCGUCGUAGUCCGGAUUGGAGUCUGCAACUCGACUCCAUGAAGUCGGAAUCGCUAGUAAUCGUGGAUCAGAAUGCCACGGUGAAUACGUUCCCGGGCCUUGUACACACCGCCCGUCACACCAUGGGAGUGGGUUGCAAAAGAAGUAGGUAGCUUAACCUUCGGGAGGGCGCUUACCACUUUGUGAUUCAUGACUGGGGUGAAGUCGUAACAAGGUAACCGUAGGGGAACCUGCGGUUGGAUCACCUCCUU